UUGCUGUGGCAUAGGCUGGCAGCUGCAGCUCUAAUUUGACCCCUAGCCUGGGAACCUCCAUAUUCCGUGGGUGCAGCCCUAAAAAGACCAAAAAAAAUUUUUUUUUAAAAAGAAUCAAGGAAAUGAUAGUUAACUAGGUAGCUCUUUAUGUAGCUUACAGUCCAGGAUUUGCAGCUUAGUUAAUGAACAAAAUUAUAGCCGCUGCCCAUUGAAAAAAUAUACCAAAUACUUGGGGAAAGAGGGAAGGGGUUUUAACACACUGAUAUUCCGGACAAUUGAGAACGACCAUAUGUGCCAUAAACGGAUUCUCAACUUACAAAUAAGUAGACCUACCUAUAAAUAGUCUACUCAUACAUGAAUAAUCCAAAAUAAUAGUUCAUUCAGAAAAAAAAAGUUUAUCAUUGAGGACUAGCUAUCACUGGGUUACAAAAAUGACGGAUAAAAUCCCCACCCUUAACAAGCUCACAAUCUAAGGAAGAAGAAAAAAAUGAACAAAGCACUUCAACACAGAUGACAAAGGUUUUAACGAAGGUUGGAAAAAAAUCUUUAAGAAUGGGAGUGGGGAAAGUCAUAAGCAUUGGAAGAAGGGCAGCACUUAAGACUUUGGGCUGAGUCUUGAAGAAUGAUGAGUAAGGCGAUGCCAGGCAGGCAGGGGGCUGAGGCAUUCAUUUCAGAUGGAGGGAACAGCAUGUACAUUCCCAACUGAAAAUAGCGCCUUCGGGGUGAGCAGAGAGUGCAUCUGGGCAGCAGCCAAAGCUAAGCCGAGAAAGGGAAACAGAAACCACGUCGUGAAGGGCUGUGUGUGCCCUGACGACGUCGCUGUACUUUAUCUUGCAGGCGACGGCGAGUCUCUGCUGUGCUCUGAGCAGGACUGGACGAAAUGAUUAGAUGCGCCUGCUGAAAUGUUACUCAGGCUGAAGGAGGAGGCACCGCCGCGCAUCUCUGAAGGUGUGGCUGAAGCUGUAAAGCCUGGAGGAAGGAGAAUGGUCCAGGCCACCGCAUAUUGAGUUCCCAGACCAGAGAUCAGAUCCAAGUUGCAGUCAUGACCUAAGCUGCACCUGCGGCAACACCAGGUCCUUAACCCACCGUGCCGGGCCAGAGAUGGAACCUGCCUCCCAGCGCUCCCAAGACACGGCCGACCCCACUGCACCACGCAGGAACUCCUACAAGUCCAUACUUUUAAUUUGUGGCUUCAUCACGCACAUGGAUUAGCUGGAUCAACUUUUGUUUGUUUGUUUAACAUCAGGUUCUUGUUUGGCUGGUUAUGUUACUGGUUCAGUUCUCAGAGUAUUUUACUCACAUUUCACCUAACACCUAAUCCAGCCUCUUUCCCAGAGUUUUCACCGACAUCGUCUGUGAACGACACAUCCCAGGUUCACGGCAUCGCCAGUCCUUAGACGCCAAAGCAACAAAGAAGGGGACAUUCCACUGAAGAGCUCAGUGGGCUCACUUCCCUGCUGAAAACCUGACUUGACGCUCAUGAGCCCUGAGACUAGUGUGAAUCCCGAUUCUGCCAGGCACUAGCCGGGUGUGCACAGAGACACACAUCGACGUGCACACACUGAUGUGCACACUUUGAUCAGGGUUAACGCUUUCUGCCCAGUGGGGUUAACACUACUUUAAAUGGUGAUUUUUGACCCAGGAAAUGUACUAAAAAUCACUGAAUGAUACACUCGAUACUGGUCAGUUUCCUAAUAUGUUGUAAACCAUUCCUCCGUAACGCUGCUACACAGUGAAUUUUUUAAAAAUGUUCAGGGAGGAAGCCGUCACUGAGUAAACCAGGACGGACACAUGCUGAGAGCAGACCAGGCAACAGUCAGAUGAACAGAGCAAGCUAGAGACUCAGGGAGAGGCCUUCGAGAAUGUUCCCAGGGGUCGUGACCUACAUAAACACCCUCUUUCUAGAUGCCGCCAACAGGGCAGUUCCUCUCUUCUGCCCUCGGACCUCAUCGUGCUCUUUUCUAGACGGUACUCUGGAUGGGCUUUUACACACGCCGUCAUCCCGCGGCACGGCAACUACUUCUUUAAAAGUCUGUGCUUCCCUGAACUGUGAGUUCUUGCAGUUGGCAGCCAUGGUCUCUCAUUCAGUCCUAGGAGGUUAGAUGAACGAAAAAGUAAGGGAUGACUGCUUACUUCAAAAGUCAAAAAAAAGAGAGAGAGAGAGGUGGUGUGAAGAGUCACUGAAAUAUACGCAUGUAUGCAAAGCACUUAGCACCAUGUUCUGCAUGUAGCGAGCAUGGCGGUUCUUUUUAUCAACAAAUUACGCCAAGAAUUAGGCUACAGAAAGAAGUCUAUUUUGAAGCUAGACUAGCCUGCAAAAUAAAAAUGUCCAAAUGCAUUGAAGACCUAGUUUUAGAGGACCCGCUGCCUAUGUCCAAGGCUUGAGGGCCCAGAUAUUGGCCAAAUUUCCAAAAAAAAAAAAAAAUCUCGCAGAUCCAUCUACAGUUUGUGACCAGAAUUCUCCAAGGUCACAAUGAGUGGCACUGGCACUCUCACUAAACCUUGUGCUUGGAGGCUGCAGCCAUACUGAGCAGGAGUUGCUGGGCUGACUACGGAGUCAUUCUCCAAGACUCUGGUCUGAAUGAGAAGUGACACCAGAGGGCAAGGGAGGGUGGAAGCAAGAGGCCGUGUUCCUGCCCCCUCUUCCUCCCCCCAAAGGAAAACUGCCGUCUAGCGUGUCAGGAACUGCUGCACUGUUGAUCUGGCUGGUUCCAGCUGAGACUACUUCAGUCAUUCAAUAGAUACGUAUUGAGCCCCUACCAUGGGUCUGCCAUUGUUCUAGGCACAAGAUGCAUCAAUGAAUAAAACAUUUAAAUACUUUGUCUAGAUACUCAUGUUGCAACAGAAGAAAGGCUGGGGGAAAAAUGUAAUUGUAAUGUAUACCUGUAAGGAUAACCUGACCCCCUUGCUGUACAGUGGGAAAAUUAAAAAAAAAAAAAAUGAUUAAGACAGUAAAAAAAAAAAAUUUAAAUAUUCUCAAGAAUGAGGUAAGGUGACUCUCCCUUCGGAUACAAGGACUUAUAAGUAGUCACAAAGAUCUGAAUCAAAAGCCUAGAGACUCAUCCAUACAUGGAAACUUAACGCAAAGGAAGCAUUGGUGGUAAAAGCACCACCACCAUCUCUGUGGGGAAAAAACUGAAUGCCGACCUCACGUCAUUCAUGAAAUUUAAUUCCAAGCGGACUAACGGUCUAAACCGUAAAGGCAAAACUUAAACUCUGACUAGGAAACAUAAACCUUUAGCCUGCAGACAUAGAAGGAGCCCUUAGGAAACAAAAAAGCACACACCACAGAGGAAUGAAUUGCUAAUCUCAACUACACUAAAAUUCAUCAAAAUAUUCCAUUAAAAAGACGACAAAAUGGAAAAAUAUGUCUGCAACUCAGUAAGAAAAAGGCAAUGUGAAAGAGAAAUAAGCAAAAGAUAUGAAUUGAUACUUCACAGAAGUGGAAACAGCCCAUGAAUACAGAAAACUUGUAAUCGGGGAACCACAAAUUAAAACCACAAUGAGACAAUAUUUCACUCCUGUCUGAUUUCCAAAAAAAAAAAAAAAAAAAA
Sus scrofa (pig) is the source of this 3554-nucleotide long non-coding RNA. RefSeq lists it as uncharacterized. The record is from RefSeq and is a predicted model, not a curated record. NCBI's taxonomy places the organism in Eukaryota, Metazoa, Chordata, Mammalia, Artiodactyla, Suidae.